ACUGAAAUUAUUAUCUAUGGGAAACAUAAAACUAAAGUUUAGGUAAGAGAAAGAAAUGAUAUAAAGUUUGAGCUACUGUUUAUCUUGUUCCUACUACACUAAGUUCUGGAGAUUUAUUUUGAAAACUUGCAAAUCAUACGAUGAGUUCCUAGCAUUACAAACUUCCUACCACAGCCAUACUUGCUUUAACAUCUUUUACUUAUAUUCACAUUGAGUUUGAUCGAGCUGUGUAGAUCCUUAAGAGCUUUGCAUGUGGUUAAAUUAAGAUAUUCACUUGCACACAUCUACUACACCAUCCAUCACCACUCAUUAAAAUUACUAAAAAUAUUAUCACUCACUAUCCCAAAUAUUGUUAUUCUCUCUCUCUAAAAAGAUUCACUGCAGAAGAGGCAUGGGUUAUGCAAAAAUAUGCGAGGAAAUAAAAAGGGGCAAGUGCCUGGAACCUCGAAAAAGAAAGAAAAAAAGAGUGAGACGAGAGGUAAAAAUGGACAAGUGUUCAGAGUAGAAUUAGGGGUACAAAGAUACCCACUUGAGCGGAAAAAAUGGACAAGUGUCCGAUAGUAGAAUUAGGGGUAUCUACUACCCACCUGAAAAAAAAGGAGAGAUAGCCCAUGUUCUUCCAAAGCAAAGAUCAAAGAAGAGGAGAGGUAGCAAUAUGAGGAGCAAUGAGAAGUAAGUUUUAUUAUCACUUAUACAUUUUUUUACCAUCACUAUCAUUUACUCCACCACACAUGCACAUCUUGAUUUAAUUAUAUGCUGAGUUCCUUUGGAUCCAUGGCUCGAUUAGACAACAUAUGUAUGAGCUGUUUUUCACUCCUAUGAGCUCCACUUAAAUAUUCCAUUAGCUAUAGGUAAGUGACAUUUUGGUAUGGAUCCACAAAUACCACAUAUAGAGAGACUUGAGAGAAUCAUUGCUGGGAACUCUGAGUUUUAUUUUUAACUUAUGCAAAACUCUGGAACAAAGGUGAAGUUUAGACAGGAGGAAUAGUGCUUGACUUAAUUAUUUUGUCUUUCAAUUACUUAAGACUUAGGUGCAGAUACUAAGCUCCAUGACACUUCACUCUAAUCUGGAAAAUUUUUUUAUGUAAAAGCAUG
RNAcentral lists this long non-coding RNA (1095 nucleotides) under Sorghum bicolor (sorghum). Its description in RNAcentral is "long non-coding RNA (SBIC_LNC002991)". Lineage: Eukaryota; Viridiplantae; Streptophyta; Magnoliopsida; Poales; Poaceae. The record is from RNAcentral.